GAUGAACGCUGGCGGCGUGCCUAAUACAUGCAAGUCGAACGGGGUUGUUGUAGCAAUACGACAACUUAGUGGCGAACGGGUGAGUAACGCGUUGGUGACCUGCCCCGAAGAGGGGGAUAACAGUUCGAAAGGACUGCUAAUACCCCAUGACCUCUACCCAGUUAGAGAAGGUAGAAAAAGGAGAAAUCCACUUUGGGAGGGGCCUGCGUCCCAUCAGCUAGUUGGUAGGGUAAAAGCCUACCAAGGCGAAGACGGGUAGGGGGCCUGAGAGGGUGACCCCCCACACUGGCACUGAAACACGGGCCAGACACCUACGGGUGGCAG
This 324-nucleotide ribosomal RNA is filed under the name uncultured Chloroflexota bacterium. RNAcentral's name for it is "bacterial SSU rRNA". It matches the Rfam family "Bacterial small subunit ribosomal RNA", at positions 28 to 351 of the family's 1533-position model. The record is from RNAcentral. Lineage: Bacteria; Bacillati; Chloroflexota.